RNAcentral lists this non-coding RNA (27 nucleotides) under Homo sapiens (human). The record is from RNAcentral. Lineage: Eukaryota; Metazoa; Chordata; Mammalia; Primates; Hominidae.
UGAAGAGUUGUCACAGAACAGAGUGAA